CUUUCCCUCUCUCUUUCGGCCUCCCCCCUGCACGUCGACCGGCAGCACAGUAAGAGCUUUCUCUUACGGGUGGCGAGUGGCGGACGGGUGAGGAAUACAUCGGAAUCUACUUUUUCGUGGGGGAUAACGUAGGGAAACUUACGCUAAUACCGCAUACGACCUACGGGUGAAAGCAGGGGAUCUUCGGACCUUGCGCGAUUGAAUGAGCCGAUGUCGGAUUAGCUAGUUGGCGGGGUAAAGGCCCACCAAGGCGACGAUCCGUAGCUGGUCUGAGAGGAUGGUCAGCCACACUGGAACUGAGACACGGUCCAGAGUCCUACGGGAGGCAGCAGUGGGGAAUAUUGGACAAUGGGCGCAAACAUGAUCCAGCCAUACCGCGUGGGUGAAGAAGGCCUUCGGGUUGUAAAGACCUUUGGUUGGGAAAGAAAAGCAGUAGGUUAAUACCACGCUGUUCUGACGGUACCGAAAGAAUAAGCACCGGCUAACUUCGUG
This 492-nucleotide ribosomal RNA is filed under the name uncultured bacterium. Its description in RNAcentral is "partial 16S ribosomal RNA". It matches the Rfam family "Bacterial small subunit ribosomal RNA", at positions 36 to 507 of the family's 1533-position model. The record is from RNAcentral.